AAUCUUUGGUAAUCGCGCCCCAUGUAUGUGGGGUGAGGAAAGUCCAUGCCCGCACAGACUGCGAUGUCUGUAGUGAUCGCGCCAGGUCCAAUAAACCUGGGUACCGAGCAAUCGGUAACGGCGGUCGGCAAUGCUAAGGCUCCGGCUAUGCAGUGCUAACCUGAAAAGUGCCACAGAGACGAUGUCGCUUGGAAACGAGCGGAUUGGAACGGGUAAACCCCGCGAGCGAGUAACCCAAACUUUGGUAGGGGCGCUCCGCCAUGGGAAUUGAACUAACGGCGAAGCAGUGAAAACUGAGAUAGAUGAUUACUGGAAGGAUUGUCCGCCUGAGACAGUCUGGAACAGAACAUGGCUUAUAAGG
Molecule: RNase P RNA, 361 nt
Filed under: Lacticaseibacillus pabuli
Lineage: Bacteria; Bacillati; Bacillota; Bacilli; Lactobacillales; Lactobacillaceae
Description: Lacticaseibacillus sp. KACC 23028 RNase P RNA component class B
Rfam family: Bacterial RNase P class B
About the family: Ribonuclease P (RNase P) is a ubiquitous endoribonuclease, found in archaea, bacteria and eukarya as well as chloroplasts and mitochondria. Its best characterised activity is the generation of mature 5'-ends of tRNAs by cleaving the 5'-leader elements of precursor-tRNAs. Cellular RNase Ps are ribonucleoproteins.
Source: RNAcentral